GACGAACGCUGGCGGCGUGCUUAACACAUGCAAGUCGAGCGGAAAGGCCCUGCUUUUGCGGGGUGCUCGAGUGGCGAAAGGGUGAGUAACACGUGAGUAACCUGCCCUUGACUUUGGGAUUACUUCAGGAAACUGGGGCUAAUACCGGAUAGGAGCUCCUGCUGCAUGGUGGGGGUUGGAAAGUUUCGGCGGUUGGGGAUGGACUCGCGGCUUAUCAGCUUGUUGGUGGGGUAGUGGCUUACCAAGGCUUUGACGGGUAGCCGGCCUGAGAGGGUGACCGGCCACAUUGGGACUGAGAUACGGCCCAGACUCCUACGGGAGGCAGCAGUGGGGAAUAUUGCACAAUGGGCGGAAGCCUGAUGCAGCAACGCCGCGUGCGGGAUGACGGCCUUCGGGUUGUAAACCGCUUUCGCCUGUGACGAAGCGUGAGUGACGGUAAUGGGUAAAGAAGCACCGGCUAACUACGUG
This 468-nucleotide ribosomal RNA is filed under the name uncultured bacterium. RNAcentral's name for it is "partial 16S ribosomal RNA". It matches the Rfam family "Bacterial small subunit ribosomal RNA", at positions 28 to 507 of the family's 1533-position model. The record is from RNAcentral.